This is a long non-coding RNA of Neomonachus schauinslandi (Hawaiian monk seal), 894 nucleotides long. RefSeq lists it as uncharacterized. The transcript has 3 exons. The record is from RefSeq and is a predicted model, not a curated record. NCBI's taxonomy places the organism in Eukaryota, Metazoa, Chordata, Mammalia, Carnivora, Phocidae.
GGGGGUUGGAACUUCCAGUCACACCCCUGACCUCCAGGAGAGGAGAGGAGAGGGGCUGGAGGUUGGAUCAAUCACCAAAGGCCAGUGGUUUAAUCAAUCAUGCCUUAUGCAAUGAAGCCUCCAUAAACCUCCCGAAGGACAGGGUUUGGAGAGCUUCUGGGUCGGUGAACAUCUGGAGACUCCGGGAGAGUGGUGCAGCCCUGUGCGUCUCUUCAUCGGCUGCUCGGGAGCUGUGUCCCUUAAUAAUAAACCAGUGAUCUGCCAAGGUGUGGAAAUGACCUAAAUGUGCAUCCACAGAUGAACAGAUAAAAAUCAUAUUCAUCAAUGCACGAGUUUUCCUCCGAAGCCCGGGUGGUGCUACUGAUUUUAGUAGAAAUGAAAAACAAGAAUCCCCAAAUUUCAGAUGCAAUUUUGCUAAAUGAUAUGUGGAUGUUACAGCCCUUGGCAGCGGUGAAGGUCUUCGGUCAUCCAGCGGCCUGAGCUGGCCCCUUCACCUCUAGGGGGGUGGAUGAGAGUCUCCUUGAGCAGCCGCACACUCCAGCUGUGCUCGGGACCCUCAGACGUGGCUUUACAGGAAUACCUAAAGCAAGCAAACAAGCAUAAUUUCGAAUGAAAUCAGGCUUUCUAGUGAAGGAUUCAAAAACAGUCCAUGUUCUUGGCCUCUGCUGCCCGUGUGGGCCCCAGACUCAAUCCCAAGAGAGGACAGGCAGCCUUUCGUUCCUCUACAGAAAAUGUCCACAAGGGCUUCCAAGAACGAAAGGCUCCAGGCUUUAGGCAAGCGUAUCCUGAAGAUAUUUUCAUCACAUUUUACUACCAACUUCCAGAUCCUCAUAAACAAUGAAAAUUGAAGCUCUCUCUAAAUUUUCCAUUUUUCUAAAAUUAAGAAUACAACGC